This 500-nucleotide ribosomal RNA is filed under the name uncultured bacterium. Its description in RNAcentral is "partial 16S ribosomal RNA". It matches the Rfam family "Bacterial small subunit ribosomal RNA", at positions 29 to 523 of the family's 1533-position model. The record is from RNAcentral.
AUUGAACGCUGGCGGCAUGCUUUACACAUGCAAGUCGAACGGUAACAGGGUGCUUGCACCGCUGACGAGUGGCGAACGGGUGAGUAAUGCGUCGGAACGUGCCGAGUAGUGGGGGAUAACGCAGCGAAAGUUGUGCUAAUACCGCAUACGUACUGAGGUAGAAAGUGGGGGACCUUCGGGCCUCACGCUAUUCGAGCGGCCGACGGCUGAUUAGCUAGUAGGUGAGGUAAAGGCUCACCUAGGCGACGAUCAGUAGCGGGUCUGAGAGGAUGAUCGGCCACACUGGGACUGAGGCACGGGCCAGACUCCCACGGGAGGCAGCAGUGGGGAAUUUUGGACAAUGGGCGAAAGCAUGAUCCAGCCAUGCCGCGUGUCUGAAGAAGGCCUUCGGGUUGUAAAGGACUUUUGUCGGGGAGGAAAUCCCCAGCGUUAAUACCGCUGGGGGAUGACAGUACCUGAAGAAUAAGCACCGGCUAACUACGUGCCAGCAGCCGCGGUAA